Bos taurus (domestic cattle) is the source of this 1335-nucleotide long non-coding RNA. The record is from Ensembl. NCBI's taxonomy places the organism in Eukaryota, Metazoa, Chordata, Mammalia, Artiodactyla, Bovidae.
GGCCAAUCAGCGUAGGCGCCGGCUGCUGCAUUCAUAAGGAGACGCAGCCGGCGGCGCGGCGGGUUGCGGAGGGUGGGCCCCGGGUUGGUGGCAGCCAUUUCUCAUCUAACCCUAAUUGAGACAGGCGUAGGCGCUGUGCUUUUGGUUACCGCGCGCUGUUUUUCUCGCUGACUUUCAGCGGGCGGAAAAGCCUCGGCCUACCGCCAUCCACCAUCCAGUCUGCAACAAACAAAAAAUGUCAGCCGCUGGCUCGCUCACCUCUCCCGGGAACCUGCGGUGGUCCGCCCGCCCAGCCCCAGUGCCCCGCCUGAGGCCGCGGUCGGCCCGGUGCUUCUCCGGAGGUGUCCAUUGCCGCCGUGAAGAGUUGGGCUCUGUCAGCCGCGGGUCGCUCGGUGGGCCGAGGCAUGGCUGUAACCGCAGGGAAAGGAACGGAGUGGGGUCCCCGCGCGCGGUGCGCUUCCCUGAGCUGUGGGACUUGCACCCGGGACUCGGCUCAGACAUCUGCAGUCUGAGGGACUGCGGGGGGGCGGGAAGUAGGAGGGUAGCGGGGGGGUCUGUUUUCUCCCUAAAUGGAGGGGGUCCGUCUGUGUGCGUUUGUCUUCCCUGCCAUCAGUGGACUUCGAAUCUUGCAGAUUGGACCGGAGAGCGUGCAAAUAAACUGUCAGAAGGACAAGUGGAGGCAGCUCAAAAAUCCGUCCAAAUGAAUGGGCAAUGAGCCGAGUAGUCGGCUAUCUUACAGGGUUUUUUUCCUCCUCCCCUCCUUUAGUUUUAUUGCCCUUUAUCAGUGUAUCACAACCUAGUUCCUGCUCUGCAGAUUUUGUCCAGGUUUUUUGCCUCUGCAGAACUUGAUCCCCAUCAGUCCUGGGAUGUGGAACAGCGGUGAUUUUUUGUAUGUGUGUGUGAGAUCAUUAAUUCGUAUUUGUUAACAGGAAGAUCUAGUGUGUUCUCAAAACAGUGGAAGUCAUAUUCUUUAAUGGUCGUUGCUUUUCAUCUUUGUCUCCAUCUUUGGAUGCAAAGUAUUAAGGGACGAUAGGAAUUUAAGAAGAAAUCUAUGCCCCCACGCGCAAGAAUUAGGUUUCUUUGCCAAAAGGGAAGGAAAAAAAAAGAAAACGGCCCAUUAGGAAACAACCAACAAGUCAUCCUGCCCUCUUGUCAUAAAACCUAACUUUCAAGUUAUGUGAGGAUUCAUCCGAAGUCAAUGAAAACAUUUUAAUUGGCGAGUAAUUGGUUUAGUGUUGUAGUGGUUUCUGCUGUCCAGGAGAAGUGCAUCAGCCAUAUGUAUAAAUCGGUCCCACUGUCUUGAACCUCCCCCAGCGCCCCACAUCCCACCCAUCU